Leptonychotes weddellii (Weddell seal) is the source of this 2804-nucleotide non-coding RNA. Lineage: Eukaryota; Metazoa; Chordata; Mammalia; Carnivora; Phocidae. The record is from RefSeq and is a predicted model, not a curated record.
ACAUCCGUCUUUCACGCGCCCAAUCAGGAAUGUGCAGUGGGAGGUACUACGGUCUGAUUACUAGAUGUCUUUAGUCCUGGUUGAUCCGGGGUUUUGAAGUUUUCGGUUAAGCAGAUCCACAGAGUUGCAGAACUCAAGAGAUCAGAGUUUUGGGUCAGAAAAACUUGUUACUUAACUGAAAUAUCCGGGCGGGGCAGAAAUAGAAGGAUGGAAUUGGCCUGUUUUAAUCUGCCGGAUGUAAAAUAUGGAGAGGGUGGUUUUGCUCUCUGUGUAUCCUUCAGGCAAAGGGUAGUACGACAUUAAUUUUUAAAAGGAAUAAAGAAUGCAGAUUUUGAUUUAGUAAGCCUUGGUGGAGCAUGAGAGUCUACAGUUUUAACAAACUCCGAAGUGAUACAGAUUAUUCUGGUCAGAAGACAACCCUAAGUUAUACAAGAGUGGUAGGAAACAUCGCUCCCUACCCAAAGGGAACUCACCAUAUCCAGGAGGUCCAUAAAGAAAAGUCCGAGAUAAGCCAAUUUGUAUUACCCUAAUCUAAACAAGCUUCAGUAUGAAAAGUAUAAUGGAACAUGUUAAUGCUCUUAAUUAACAAUGCACAGCAGACUGGGACAAAUUUGAGGUCAGAGUUUUUAACUUUUGUGCCACAGACCACUUUGGCAGUCUGGUGAAGCCAUGGACUCUUCUAAGAAUGUUUCUAAAUGUAUAAAAUAAAAUUCAUAGCAGUAGUUAUAAUGUGAUACAAAGUAUCUCAUUCCUAGUGGUGAUACAGACGUAGGUAUAGCUGUUUGUUGCUUACAUUCAAAAUUGAAGGAAAUGCUAAAUUUCAGUUAGAGAUUAGUAAAAAUAAAGAUGUAUUUUUUUUUUCUCCCAUCCAAGUUCACAUACUUCCUGGAUUCUAUCCAUGAACUUCAUGAUAAAAAAUUUUAGGUAAAGUCUAGUGGGCUUAUUCCUCUUAGUAAGCCUUGAGGGGAUUGUGAAAUAUUAACAUACAGUUAUAAUUUAUAUCCAUAACAAUAGUGAUUCAUUAAAAAAAAGUUUAAUUACUACCAGUAUACUCUCAUUAAGAAUGCGUGGAAGUACAUAACAGUAUUAGGAAAUAGUUGUAUCCAAUUUGUUGAUUUUAUUUAUUUUUUAAACUAUAUCUAUAAUCAUACCCUAUGGAAAACUUUCCUAUCCAGAUGACUCAUUUCCCAAGCGUUCUGGUAACUUAUGUUUUACUAUAUCAUUCUUAUUUAUUACAUGCCUUUGCAAAUAAGAUGUGGAAGAACUGCAAAAUGAAAAUAAUAGCCAAAGAUUAAAUUAAAAUACUGUAUAAAUUUCUUAAUAAGUGUUAAUAAUUAUUAUUUGAAGUACUAUGUGUGGGGUCUUUUAAUUCAUUAUCUUAUGAAAUCUCCAUUACAUAGAUGAAACACUCAAGAUCUGAAAAUUAUUAACUGGUAGAGUCAGGAUUUAAACCUAGGCAGUAUGAUCUCAAAGCUCACACUCAACCAGUAAGCUGUUUGAUUAUUUUUUAGUCCUUUGACUAAUAGCCAAUAUUAAUUUGCCUAAUAGUGCAACAAGUAUAUAUUUGCUGCCUCAAUUAUGCAUUUCUUAGUAUUCCAAGUAGAAUUGCACCCAGUGACUGAAAGGAAUUUUUUAAAUUCUUCCUUUGCAGCAAUAUUGCUUAUAAGAUCCAACACCACCUUUAAGUAAGUGGGUGACCAUUUGGGGCUGGAAAAUUGUUUUGCAGAGAUUUUUGUUGCAAUGGAGUUUUGCUUGGAAAAAUCCACUUAUGCCUUUCCCUGCCCUACAGACAUACUUUCUCAUCUGAAAUUAAACCUGUUUUAUAAUGGUGCCACUAUAUUUUUAUGUUGGCCACUGUCAAGAUUGUAUACAAGAAAUGAUGACAUAUAAAUAAAUGCUAAUAUAUGAAAGUCUAGAUUAUAUAUGCCUGGAGACAAGUGAUUGUGUAAUCCCAAUUUUUUAUUUGGCACUGAAGUGAAUUUAUUGGUUGAUUACACCUUCUAUUUAUUUGCUUGUAGUUACACUAGCAAACUUAACAAUUUUACUCAAUUUUGUUAGGGGUAAAAUUAAAAGGAACAUGACCUAGAAGCAUUUUGAUGCUUUAGGGCAGCCUAGGGUUAGCUGAAAAUUUAAAACACUAUUUACAUAUCUAGUGUUAGAACUCACUUUACAGUUGCAUAUAAAGUUAAAAUUGACUUUCAUUAAUUUGACUAUUUGAAUUACAGUGGUUGAAAUGUCUCUAUCUGAUAAAAAGGAAAGACAUGUUUUUUAUAUUACAGUCUUACAAAGGGCUAAAAAGGUUUUAUAUAUGAAAAAACAUAGACAUUCAAAAAUUAAUACAGAUACAAAAAUGUUGAAAAGAUGAGUUUUAAAAAAUCCUUCUUAGUGAAUAUUGAAGUCUCAAAAACUUUCUAGUUAUGGUAGAUCAGAUCUUGCGUGAAUUCAUGUAAAACACAACAAAAUAUAAAGAAUCAAGAAGAUUAGUAUAAAAGUGGCAAUGAAGUAAGUAAUAAAUAACUAAUGAAAAUGUGUCAAAGUCCUAAUGUUAUGUGAACAUAUCAGCAAAGCCACAUAAUUAUAAAAACCUUAGUACUGGGGUUAAUUAAAAUGUACUUGUGAAUAAAUACAGUUAACAUAGAUUGAUACGUAUACUUAGGUUUAUGGAGUCCGUAUUGUCAGAUCUUUGUAACUUUGUCAUGGAAUUUUAUAACUUGCUAAGGAUACUGGCUUGCUAGGAUACUGGCUCUAACACACUGUAUGCCAUUUUAUUAGUUUAAUUAAAUUGUAAAUGCUGUGGUCCAGAA